CCUACGGGGGGCUGCAGUCGAGAAUCUUCGGCAAUGGGGGAAACCCUGACCGAGCGACGCCGCGUGUGGGAUGAAGGCCCUUGGGUUGUAAACCACUGUCAGAGGGGAUGAAGUGCUGGAAAGCUAUCUUUCCGGUUUGACAUAGCCUCAGAGGAAGCACGGGCUAAGUUCGUGCCAGCAGCCGCGGUAAGACGAACUGUGCAAACGUUAUUCGGAAUCACUGGGCUUGAAGAGUGCGUAGGCGGUUUCGUAAGUAGGGUGUGAAAGCCCUCGGCUCAACCGGGGAAUUGCGUCCUAAACUGCGAGGCUAGAGUGAGGUAGGGGUGUGCGGAACUUCCAGUGGAGCGGUGAAAUGUGUUGAUAUUGGAAGGAACGCCGGUGGCGAAAGCGGCACACUGGACCUUGUCUGACGCUGAGGCACGAAAGCCAGGGGAGCAAACGGGAUUAGAUACCCCAGUAGUC
This 462-nucleotide ribosomal RNA is filed under the name uncultured Planctomycetaceae bacterium. RNAcentral's name for it is "bacterial SSU rRNA". It matches the Rfam family "Bacterial small subunit ribosomal RNA", at positions 338 to 795 of the family's 1533-position model. Lineage: Bacteria; Pseudomonadati; Planctomycetota; Planctomycetia; Planctomycetales; Planctomycetaceae. The record is from RNAcentral.